Molecule: long non-coding RNA, 7508 nt
Organism: Leopardus geoffroyi (Geoffroy's cat)
Lineage: Eukaryota; Metazoa; Chordata; Mammalia; Carnivora; Felidae
Exons: 3
Source: RefSeq, a predicted model, not a curated record
CAAAGUCAGACGCUCAACCGACUGAGCCACCCAGGCGCCCCCACCAUGUAGCAAGUCUUAAUAAAUAUUGGGUCCUAUUAUCCCUAUCUCAGGCACACCCUCCCACACAAAGGACAAUCACCACUAGGAGAAACAUCCAGAAAAUGAGGAAAGAUAACAGAGGCCAUCCUGGCCUCCUCUAAUGACAAAGCAAGGAAAUGACUAGACUCAGUGAGGUCUGAAUGUGAUGGAGAGAAAGGGGUCAGUGGAGCCAACACAUGGGGUUGAGCCAAGAGCCCCUCAGUGCGCAGUUUUCCAGGGAGAGAAUUACAGGAAGACGCAGCUUCCGGCAUUUAGAAGUGAGAAUGUUUUCAUCAUCAUUGUAAGGCCGAUUUUAAAUAGUUUGGCUAAUUAGGUGGUGAUUAAAUUAUACUGCUCCCAUAUGCUUGUGCUUUCUUCUCUGCAGAAUAUAUCUGCCCAAAAAGUUGUAGGUGAAUUAUAUGUUUGUAAAGGAAUGUUUUGAUUCUCUGCACAUAGUAAGCACUCAAAUGUAUUGAAUGGUUACCUAUUUUACAAAGCUAGGAACAAUCAUAAUAAUAGCAGCUAAUAAGCUGAUAAGGAUUUACUUUGCUCUUCACGGAAUUAUCUCAUUUAAUCCCACGAAGUUGGUAAUAUUAUUCUUUCCAACUAACUCUUGAAGAAAGCAAAGUCUAGAGGGCAAUGAAUUCUCGGUGUCAUCAAGAUCUUUCUGUCAUUUCUUUGUUUGCCUGUUUGGAUUUUUGUUGUUGGGUAUUCUUAGAAUGCACCUGCAGGAGAAGUGAUAGAAGUGACUUUCAAUACAGCUCUAAAUAGACGUGACUGCUAAAGAAUUAGGAGGAAUGGCAUAUGGCGAUGCUGAGGAUAGAGCCGUGGGCAUGGCGUGGGGACUGUCAGAGUAUGAUGGACAGAGGAGGCGUGGGGAGGAGGAAGAACCGGGAAGACUGAGCGGAAGCCACCCGUGAAGCAGACUCACCGUGAGCCCUUGGGCAGAGCGGUCGUGGGCAAGCCUGAAUGACCCUGGCUCUUCUUCACCUAAGACAGUCCUGGCUCAUCAUAAAUGAACCCCAAUCAUCUGUCUGGCGUCAUCUGUUAUUUCCUCCUCCCAGGCCUACUUUCCCGAUGUGGUAAACUACCUCCUGUUGGCAAAAUGUACUGUUUCUUUCCACAUGUCUCUGUUUUUACUCAUGGUAUAUCAGCUAUAUAAAAUGUCCUCUUUCAAGACCCAGCUGGUUAAUGUGCUAAAGCCACGACUUCUUUGAAUAUAGAUGAUCUCCAAUUCUUGUAAAAUUCUGCAAGAUAGGCUUAUUAUUUCCAUCUUGCAGAUGGAGAAACAGAGACUAAAUACUGAAGUCAGCAUUGCACAAGUAGAUCUAGGGCUAGCGGAUGGGUCUGCCUGAUUUUAAAGUCUGCUACUUUCUCCUUUUCCCGUGUCUGUAGAAAUUCCCAGUCACCUUUUGAGCUGCAGCCCUCAUGCUGUUUCCUCUGUGAAGCUUUAAUGGAAUUCCUCAGAUAAUUGCAUAUUCCUUUAUAGUCCUGUAACACUCUGUACACAUUACAAAAACACUAUUUAUUAAGGUUGUAUUCUGAUUACACGUCCGCGUGGUUGUCUUGCUCCGCCAGUAUGGGCUUCCUAAAGACAGGAAGAGGGUAUGUCUUUAUAUAUCUUUAUAAUGGUACCAUCACUCUAUGUCUUCGCAUUGCUUGUCAUAUAAUAUGCCCUUAAUGAAUUAUUAUUGAAUUAAUGAAUAAAUUAAUUAAUGCUCAGGAGCUCAUCUGUGAAGCUGUGAGCUUCCUCCUCCUUGCCAGAUUAUUGAUUCUGUCCUAAGUCUGUUCCCUGUUGGCGUCCCACACGGGCAUGAUGAGCAUUAACCAGAUGGCUAGCCACAGAGAUGUCCACCCUUGGACUCAAAGCCUGCUUCCCAAGCCAGGGUGCUGGAGACGACUGGAGACCAUCCCAGGCCCUUGGCUAUCUGGUGGCCCCAGUGGAGGCAGCAGCAGCAAAUCCAAGAACGAAGUGAAACUCUGGAUUUAGCCUUCAGGAUCUGACCUGGGAGCAGAAGUCUUUGGUUUUCCCAAUGCAACCCAUUUUACAGCCUUUGCUGAGUCACUUCCCAUCAGCAUUACUCAAACAAAGAUGCGCAUUAGGUGCCAUGGCUGCUCUGGCUGAUGCGUUUUCCAAAUGUGUGCUGUAGCCAAAUGUCUGAGCCCCAUCCAAUCCACAGUUUAUGUUUUAAUAUAAGCAAAGUCACACAACCUCUCAGAGACUCACCUACGGUUCUUGUCAAUCAUUCCUUGCCCUCUCUGCCGGUCUGUGACCUACCUUCUUUCAGAUUCCAUCCACUCUCCACCUUCAAGACAUGAUGUGGCUUGUUUCCAGAAACUGAGAUGGUUGCAAAAUAAGCUGAGCCAGCCUUUGUCACCAAAAGGGUUAAUAUCCUCCCCCCAGGGACUGACCACAGCUGAGCUGCCACCCAGGUGCAGAUAGUGACAAGUUUAUACAACCAAAUGGUGCAACAGUGCGCACCCUGAGUCUUGAAGAGGCAUUUUCUCCAAUGUUCUGGUCUUAAUGUACAAUGGCAAGAAAUCAUUAACUUUGAUUGUUGGUAUCGUUCUACCAGGAACACAGACUCCUUGCAAGAGUGACUUCUAUCUUGGCUUAUGCUGAUGGUCCCAAGUGUCACCCAGUUCUGUGAAAGAAGAAAGGAUGAAGGUGCAGAAAGCCAAUCUUUAAUGGAUCUGGAUGCGUUGUACACACCCCCACGCUAACCCUCCCAGCAGCUGUCAUCCCUACUGGACAGACGAGGUGAGAGGACCCAGAGAGGCUAAGCAGGCUGUCCGAGAUGGCAGACCCAGAGCUAACAGCUAGGAUGGACCCAAAUCUCACCACCUUUCCACAAGGAUUCACCAUCCUGAACCAGGAGAAACAGCUAAAAACCCUGGAUUCCAGCCCCGGUGCCAUCUAGACAGAGAUCACGUCAGAAUGGACCCUAGUGGAAAUUGAGCCUUUCAAAGUAACGUCAACUUGAUACUGGCACCUGGCCUUGGGUCUCUUUACAAAGGAAAGGGGAGGAGCAAAUUCAGGUAAACACCAGGAGAGAGGUAAUCCCCGUCCUCUGUGGCUCCUAGCACUGACCUCCACCAAGGCCAGCCUAUAAGGGUUGGUGUCAAUGAUGUAAACCUUGAAACUUGAUCCCUUCCCAGGGAACAGAAUGGGGGUGCGGUUCUUGAGAAACCAGACUGAAGAGAAAUUAGCCUUCACCAGCUGCUCCUGUAAUUGCAUUUAAAUUCAGUUAAACUAAUUUCUUACACUUGAUAAAAGCAGUUGUCUUUCCAAAUCAUCCUCAGACUCCUCCAUUCCAAACACAAUAUAAAUAUACCAUGGCCUGGUUAGAGAGGUCCUUCCUUCUGGGCCUCUUUGUCACCUUACCUCUGUUCUUGGCCCUUCGCUGGGGCACAGUUUUUUGUAAAGAGCUCAGAAAGCUGAACUGCCCUAUUAGCAUAAGAGUCUGUGACUCAUUGACUCACAGAUUGUAAAUCACACUCACAUGGGAUUUUAAUUAAUUAUAUUAAUUUUAGGGGAAACAACAAAACUGAAAAGUCUACAGUGCUUCAUUUACUGAGAAACUCUGAAAUGUCUUUUAUUUUUAGCAAGAGCCAUAAAAACAUCUCAUACUGAAAUAAUGCAAAAAUCAAGGAAGGGUUGUAUUACUCAGCGUGAUCGCGCCCUUUAAAAGGCUUUGACAUUUUCUUUAUUUUUGUAAGGUUUUUUAGAAAGAAAAAAAUAUAUAUUAUAUUACAUACACAUCUACACAUGCAUACGCUACCCAGAUCCUCUCUGCAAGAAUAUUCACUACUGACUGCAAUUUGGUGUAAGGUGGUUCUAUCUUAGACCCUCUCAAAGGGAGAUUAAUUACUAAAUUAUCAUAAAAAACAUGCAAUUAGUUAUCUUCAUUUAAGAGACUGCCCCAUGGUAAGAGACUCUCAAAUACUUGUAUGCACAUACACACUUCAUUCAUUGUUUAUUAUUCAUUUGCAUUUAUUCAUUUAGUCAAGCUAAUAUAUAUCAAGGCCUACUAUGUGCCUGACACCUUGCAGGGGCUGACAGUACAAGGUGAACUUAAUAAGACCAGUCUGGAGGUGGAGGUGCAUAGGGUUCCACAUGGUUAAGCAGCAUCAUAGAAUCAAGGGUACAGGGCUGUGGGAACAAGGAGGGAGCAUCUGAGGGCAUCAGAGAGAAAGGGACAGGACAGAGGGGCAGUGACAUAAAGGAAAGCCGAGAGUGAAGAUCUACAGGUUUUAGUUCAGGAAGUGACUCUUACCUGCCAUGUGUGUGUCAGACACUAGCCAGGUGCUGGGGAAGCCAGCAGUGAGCAAGCUAGACACAGCCACCCCUAUUUUGGAAUUUACAAUCUAAUUAGGAGACGUUAGUCAAAUAAUAACACAGGAAUAAAAUUGCUAUUUUGGUAAGAACCUUUAAGGAAAAAGUACAGGGGCUUUAAGAGUAUACACCAUGUAGCUAAGCUACAUGGUGAAAAUGAGGUUUGGCUUGCUUGAGAAAGUGACAAUAGAGCAGAGACCUGACAAAUUAACAGGCAUGGCCAGAGGAGGGAUGGUGGGAAGAGUGUUCCAAGUAGAAGGAACAGAUAGGCAAAGCACUAUUAGAGAAAGCUUGGAAUUUUCUAGAAACCAGGAAGAAGUCAGAGUGAGUGGAACACAACAAGGGAUGGUGAGGUGGGAGGUGGGGAGGUUAGACCCUUCUAAGACCAAGGUCAGAGAGGUGGGCAGGGACAAGAAUAUACAAAAUUUGGGCUUUAAGCUAAAAGUAGUAGAAGCACAGUAACACACUAAAAAAAAACCCACCCACAAUUUCUUUAGGGAAGAGAGUUAUGAAUUUAAAAGUGCCUUACAUUGUACCAGAAGCUCAAGAAAAUCAGUUAUUGUCCCUCUUUCUGUACCCAGCUCAGGUCCUUGACUAGGCUAAUGCAUGUAUUCUGCACCUACAUGUUGGUCUCCAGUAGUAUAUUUUGUACUGUUGGUUCUGAUUUUGAUUUUUAACCCAGUUUGUCAACUUGUCUCCUGCCUCCAUGACCAUUUAUGGUUUCUGCUAUGAUUAGCCAUCUGGAUGAUGGAAUAGCUCAUUCAUUCCAUGAUUCAUUCAACAAAUGCUUAUUGAAUACCCCUGUUGUACAAUGAUUUAUCCCUCAUUGAACUUACAGUUUCACAAAGGUAUAAGAUACAUGCAUAAAAAUUAUAAUAUUGAAUGUUAUACUGGAGGCCCUAGACAGUGCAAAGGAAGGGCAAGAAAAACAACAACAGUGUGUUCAUAGGACAUCUAAAAUAACAUACAGAUAAAUUAUUAGAAUUAAUGAGGGAUUUUUCCAGGGUAGCUAGAUACAAUAGCAAUAUACAAAACUCAAUGGUAUUCCUAUAAAUCAGUAAAUAAUUAUGUAAAACAUAUGAAGCAAUUAAUAUAAGUAUGUUUUUAACAUAUGGAAGAUAUGCACAGACAAAAUUUUAACACUGUAUUGAGAGAUAUUAAAGAAAACCUAAACAAAUUGAAAAAUAUACCAUAUUCAUGGAUGAGAAGACCCAAUUUUGGAAGGAUACUAAGUUUCUCCAAGCUGAUUCAUGGAUUCCAUGUAAUCUUAAUCCUAACCAAAAUUCUAGCAAAGUGUUGGUAGAAUUUGAGAAGUUGAUCCUAAAACUUAGAUGUAAACACAAAGAAUCUCUGACUCUUCUGAAGAAAAUAAUGAAGCAGAAAGACUUGCUCUACCAGACACCAGAUUUGUUUUAAAUUGUAGUAAAGGCAGCAUGGUCUUGGCACAGAAUGGACAGAUGGACUAAUGGAGCAGAAUAGAGAGAACAGAAAAAUGAUAAACACAUGUGUGGACAUUUGACAUAUGAAAAAGACGCAUGGCAGAUGAGUGAGGAGAGGAAGACAUUUUCAAUGAUGAAUUCCAGGUAGACUACAGAUCUAAGUGCAAAAGGUGAAACUAUAAGCUUUUAGAUGACAAUAUAGAAUAUUUUCACAUAAAAAAUAUAUGCAAUGUCUUCUUAAACAAGAUCAGAAAGGAAAGAUACAUGAGUUUGGCUACAUUAAAAUUAAGAACUUGUAUUCACCAAAGGAUUCUAUACAAAUAAUAAAAGGUCAGACUGUAAAUUGGAAGAAGAUGUAAAUAUGUUAUGUUACAGAAUAUGUAAUAUUUAAGUGUCAAUAAAUUGAAAAUCUAUUUUAAAAACCUACUCCAUAUCAAUAAGAGAAACUGAAUUCAAUAGAAAAAUGGACAAAACCCAAUAAAUUACCAAAAAUGAAAUCCAAAUGGCCAAUACAUAAGUGUAAAAGCAUUUUAUGGAUAAUGAGGGAAAUGCAAAUUAAAACCACAAAGAGAUAACACUACAUACUCAGGAGACUGGCAAGUAUUUAAAAGUUUGGCAAUACCAAGAUUGGAUAAGGUGUGUAAUAGUGAGAAGUCUCAAACACUGUGGAGUGGAAGGGAGGUGUAAGUUGGUACAACUACUUUGGAAAAGAAUUGUCGUUAUCCACUCCAUUUGAAGAUACGCACAGCUUAUAACUCUGUGCUUCUGUAUCACAUAUGUCCUAGAGAAACUCAUGUAUGUGUACACUUGGAUAAAUGUACCAGAAUGUUUAAGGCAGAAUUCCUGAUGAUAACUAAAAACUGGAAAUAAGCCAAAUGUUCUCUUACAAAGAAUGGAUAAAUAAGUAGGAUAUUCAUAAAAUGAGGACUGUAUAUCAAUAAAGAUAGAUGUAGCUAUUUGAAGCACAAAUGACUCUCAAACAGUGUUGAACAAAAGAUAAAAGGCAAAAGGAUACGAUGUGGAAUGAUUUCCAUUUGUGUAAAAUUUCCAGUUAUAAGGACAGGUAAAAUCAAACCAUAUUGUUUAUGGAGACAUGCCAAAGUGGUAAAACUAUCAAGUAAAGCCCAAAAAGAAUGAUCACAGAAGUCAGAACAAAAGUGGCUCCCAGGGUAGAGGGACAGGGAUAUGAGUGGAGAAGGUACCUGGAAGGCUUCCAGAUGGCUGGCCACAUUCUAAUUCUCGACCAGGUGGUGGUUACAGUAGGUUCAUGUUACUAUUAUUUGUAAAACUGUACACAGGUCCUUAAGAUAUUUUUCUGAAUGAAUAUUAUAUAUCCAAACCAAAAUUAUUUUGUGAAUUGCAUGUAUGAUUACAGUUUUCCUGUGGAUUUCCAGUCUUCUGGAAUCACUCUUCUCUUUAAUAUCCAAGUAAGAAUAAUGCAUCUCCAUCAUGUGUGACUGUGAUUUAGUGUGGCUGUGACUAGUCCCUAUCAUCAUGAAAGGCUUGUUAGUUUCCCGAUUAUUUUAAAUGGGCUCUCACUCUAAACUGCUGUCCCAGGCUGCACCUGGCCCACCUGACCAUUGUCCUCUCUUGAGAUGAUGGUGUUGUAAUCAAGUGACCUCAGAACAGGGUACUGGUGUUCUCCCCUAACCCUAUUCAAGCACAGAAACAGC